UCCUAACUUAUCAAUUCCUUCGGCCUUUAAAAUAUUUUUCAGGUUUUGUCACAUGUGCUUGUGGACACUAUUUUCCUACAAAACUAAUCAAAACACAUCAUACCCUUAUAAACAUACUUACGAACAUUCAAAAAUUCCUUGUUUUAAGUAUCAAAAGUGCCAUAAACCCACGACAAAUCUACUACCCUACAAUAUUCCAUAUUCCACACUCAAUGGAACCAUCAAAAUUUCC
This 232-nucleotide long non-coding RNA is filed under the name Capsicum annuum. RNAcentral's name for it is "long non-coding RNA (CANN_LNC008375)". The record is from RNAcentral. Lineage: Eukaryota; Viridiplantae; Streptophyta; Magnoliopsida; Solanales; Solanaceae.